Small nucleolar RNA from Ictidomys tridecemlineatus (thirteen-lined ground squirrel), 72 nucleotides. NCBI's taxonomy places the organism in Eukaryota, Metazoa, Chordata, Mammalia, Rodentia, Sciuridae. The record is from Ensembl.
UAGAUCCAUGGAGACCACUGGUGGCACAUAAAUCAAAAAUGAUGACUAUAGGUUUGGAAGUCUGAGGUCCAA